Molecule: long non-coding RNA, 193 nt
Organism: Rattus rattus (black rat)
Lineage: Eukaryota; Metazoa; Chordata; Mammalia; Rodentia; Muridae
Exons: 2
Source: RefSeq, a predicted model, not a curated record
GUGGUGGUGUGGCUCACACUGACAUUCCAGCACUUGAUUGGUAUAGGAGUGUCACAAGUUCAAAGCCAGCCUGAGUUACACAGUGAGUUUUGAGCCAUCCCAGAAUACAAAGUGAGAUCCCGUCUCAAAAGCAAAAAAAGUUUUAUCACAUUUAAGAGGUAGCAAAAACAUCAAACCGUUUAAUUGUACAUAA